GACAGAGGGUGCAAACGUUGUUCGGAAUUACUGGGCGUAAAGCGCGUGUAGGCGGCUCGGCAAGUCGGGUGUGAAAGCCCUGGGCUCAACCCAGGAAGUGCAUUCGAAACUUCCGAGCUGGAGUCCCGGAGAGGAUGGCGGAAUUCUCGGUGUAGAGGUGAAAUUCGUAGAUAUCGAGAGGAACACCGGUGGCGAAGGCGGCCAUCUGGACGGUGACUGACGCUGAGACGCGAAAGCGUGGGGAGCAAACAGG
This 253-nucleotide ribosomal RNA is filed under the name uncultured bacterium. Its description in RNAcentral is "partial 16S ribosomal RNA". It matches the Rfam family "Bacterial small subunit ribosomal RNA", at positions 524 to 776 of the family's 1533-position model. The record is from RNAcentral.